RNAcentral lists this ribosomal RNA (2194 nucleotides) under Vibrio cholerae. RNAcentral's name for it is "partial 23S ribosomal RNA". It matches the Rfam family "Bacterial large subunit ribosomal RNA", at positions 1 to 2230 of the family's 2925-position model. Lineage: Bacteria; Pseudomonadati; Pseudomonadota; Gammaproteobacteria; Vibrionales; Vibrionaceae. The record is from RNAcentral.
GUUGUAUGGUUAAGUGACUAAGCGUACACGGUGGAUGCCUAGGCAGUCAGAGGCGAUGAAGGACGUACUAACUUGCGAUAAGCGCAGAUAAGGCAGUAAGAGCCGUUUGAGUCUGCGAUUUCCGAAUGGGGAAACCCAACUGCAUAAGCAGUUACUGUUAACUGAAUACAUAGGUUAACAGAGCAAACCGGGGGAACUGAAACAUCUAAGUACCCCGAGGAGAAGAAAUCAACCGAGAUUCCGGUAGUAGCGGCGAGCGAACCUGGAUUAGCCCUUAAGCACUCGUUGAAGUAGGUGAACAAGCUGGAAAGCUUGGCGAUACAGGGUGAUAGCCCCGUAACCGACGCUUCAUCGAGCGUGAAAUCGAGUAGGGCGGGACACGUGAUAUCCUGUCUGAAUAUGGGGGGACCAUCCUCCAAGGCUAAAUACUCCUGACUGACCGAUAGUGAACCAGUACCGUGAGGGAAAGGCGAAAAGAACCCCUGUGAGGGGAGUGAAAUAGAACCUGAAACCGUGUACGUACAAGCAGUAGGAGCACCUUCGUGGUGUGACUGCGUACCUUUUGUAUAAUGGGUCAGCGACUUAUAUUCAGUGGCAAGGUUAACCGUAUAGGGGAGCCGUAGCGAAAGCGAGUCUUAACUGGGCGCUCAGUCUCUGGAUAUAGACCCGAAACCGGGUGAUCUAGCCAUGGGCAGGUUGAAGGUUGAGUAACAUCAACUGGAGGACCGAACCGACUAAUGUUGAAAAAUUAGCGGAUGACUUGUGGCUAGGGGUGAAAGGCCAAUCAAACUCGGAGAUAGCUGGUUCUCCCCGAAAGCUAUUUAGGUAGCGCCUCGGACGAAUACUACUGGGGGUAGAGCACUGUUAAGGCUAGGGGGUCAUCCCGACUUACCAACCCUUUGCAAACUCCGAAUACCAGUAAGUACUAUCCGGGAGACACACGGCGGGUGCUAACGUCCGUCGUGGAGAGGGAAACAACCCAGACCGCCAGCUAAGGUCCCAAAGUAUUGCUAAGUGGGAAACGAUGUGGGAAGGCUCAGACAGCUAGGAUGUUGGCUUAGAAGCAGCCAUCAUUUAAAGAAAGCGUAAUAGCUCACUAGUCGAGUCGGCCUGCGCGGAAGAUGUAACGGGGCUAAGCAAUACACCGAAGCUGCGGCAAUGUCUUUUAGACAUUGGGUAGGGGAGCGUUCUGUAAGCCGUUGAAGGUGAAUCGUAAGGUUUGCUGGAGGUAUCAGAAGUGCGAAUGCUGACAUGAGUAACGACAAAGGGGGUGAAAAACCUCCUCGCCGGAAGACCAAGGGUUCCUGUCCAACGUUAAUCGGGGCAGGGUGAGUCGACCCCUAAGGUGAGGCCGAAAGGCGUAAUCGAUGGGAAACGGGUUAAUAUUCCCGUACUUCUGACUAUUGCGAUGGGGGGACGGAGAAGGCUAGGUGGGCCAGGCGACGGUUGUCCUGGUUCAAGUGCGUAGGCUUAAGAGUUAGGUAAAUCCGGCUCUUUCUAAGGCUGAGACACGACGUCGAGCUGCUACGGCAGUGAAGUCAUUGAUGCCAUGCUUCCAGGAAAAGCCUCUAAGCUUCAGAUAGUCAGGAAUCGUACCCCAAACCGACACAGGUGGUCGGGUAGAGAAUACCAAGGCGCUUGAGAGAACUCGGGUGAAGGAACUAGGCAAAAUGGUACCGUAACUUCGGGAGAAGGUACGCUCUUGAUGGUGAAGUCCCUCGCGGAUGGAGCUGACGAGAGUCGCAGAUACCAGGUGGCUGCAACUGUUUAUUAAAAACACAGCACUGUGCAAAAUCGCAAGAUGACGUAUACGGUGUGACGCCUGCCCGGUGCCGGAAGGUUAAUUGAUGGGGUUAGCGCAAGCGAAGCUCUUGAUCGAAGCCCCGGUAAACGGCGGCCGUAACUAUAACGGUCCUAAGGUAGCGAAAUUCCUUGUCGGGUAAGUUCCGACCUGCACGAAUGGCGUAAUGAUGGCCACGCUGUCUCCACCCGAGACUCAGUGAAAUUGAAAUCGCUGUGAAGAUGCAGUGUACCCGCGGCUAGACGGAAAGACCCCGUGAACCUUUACUACAGCUUGGCACUGAACAUUGAACCUACAUGUGUAGGAUAGGUGGGAGGCUAUGAAGACGUGACGCUAGUUGCGUUGGAGCCGUCCUUGAAAUACCACCCUUGUAUGUUUGAUGUUCUAACUUAG